Long non-coding RNA from Pipistrellus kuhlii (Kuhl's pipistrelle), 761 nucleotides. RefSeq lists it as uncharacterized. NCBI's taxonomy places the organism in Eukaryota, Metazoa, Chordata, Mammalia, Chiroptera, Vespertilionidae. The transcript has 2 exons. The record is from RefSeq and is a predicted model, not a curated record.
CUCCCUCAGGCCACACUUCCCUGCGGCUCUUCCUGGUGCAAUCCAAUGUCCCGGUGCAUUUUCUUGUCUGAAUUCAUGGAAUCCUGUAAAAAUCUGAUAAGUUCUUGUUUUUGCAUUAAUUUUUUUACUGUGAUAAAAUGUAGAUAAUGUAAAACUUAGCAUUUUAACCAUGUUUAAGUGUCCAGUUCAGUGGCAUUAAGUACAUUCACAUUGUUGUGCAGCCAUCACCACUAUCCUGCUCCAAAACUCUUUUCACCUUGUAAAACGGAAACUCUGUCCCCAUUAGACACUAACUCCCCGUCCCCUUUUCCAGCUUGGCACCCACCCUUCUUUCUGUCUCAAUGAAUUUUUUGACUCCUCUAGGGACCUCAUAUAGUGGGAUCAUACGGCUGAAUAAUACUCCAUUGUGUUGAUGGAACAGAUUUUGUUUAUCCAUUCAUCUUUUGAUGGACAUUUGAAUUGCUUCUACACUUUGGCUGCUUUGAACAUGGGUGUACAAAUACUUAUUGGAGUUUGGUUUAGUUAUGUUUUUAAUGCACUCCUUGAGGCAGCUCUGUACCCAAGGAAACAUACAUCAGAAGGAUUAAAAAAUAACCUAAGGGGUGCUCUUGUUAUAAGACGACUUCAUUAUUCUUUAGACCACACAGUUUUUAUUUCUGCUGAUUACAGCUGUGCAAACACUGAGGCAGAGGUGAAUGGUUGCUGCUGCUCAGGAGUUCAGUCUAGAAGUGGGAGAAACUUGAGAUGUUUAGGGUGGAAAA